AUUUAAAGGACUAUGACAUUAAUUACUUUUUUCCUGUGGAAAAAAAUAAAAAGAAUUAAAUAGUAAGAAAUGCAGUAAUUGCUUCUGUUGGUUUCUAUUAAUUCUUUUAUUUGUGCUAAUAUGAUCUUUCUAAUAGGAAAUACCUGCAGAGGGAACUUCUUCAACAGGUCAUGUUGUUAACGGAGUCCCUGCACCAAGCAACUAUCAUUCAAUUAGGACAAAUUCUGCAAAUGGGUGAGAACUCAUUCAACUCCACGUGCUUCUUUUCUUAUUUAAUCAAUCCAUAAGGGUUUUUACUUUUUAUUUGUACUCUAGUUUAUUGAAGAUCAAUAAAUCACUGUUAGUCAAUUUAUAA
Non-coding RNA from Arachis ipaensis, 355 nucleotides. The record is from RefSeq and is a predicted model, not a curated record. Lineage: Eukaryota; Viridiplantae; Streptophyta; Magnoliopsida; Fabales; Fabaceae.